CAAUCACGCCCAUGUAAUGAGGUCUCCAUAAAAAUCAAAAAGAACAGAAUUCAGAGAGCUUCCAAGUUGGUGAACACAUGGAGAUAAGGAGAGAGUGACUUGAUAAUAUGAUCUCCAAGAGGGCAUGAAUUUCUUGACCUUGCUCAUGACUAUAUCCCCACCAUCAGAGGAGUGGCUGUGCGUGAAUGGAAGUGCCCAUGUGGAGGGACAGGCCUGGAGGAGGAGAAGGGGCACCUGCUGGGUCGUAACUGGAGGGAGGAUGAGGAAGACAAGCGAAAAGGGUCCUUAGUCUAAGGCUGAGUGUCCACAGAUUUCAUCUGGUGUUGGAGGAAUCAUUCCAUCUGAUGGUCCAGCCCUUCCCAUCAGGAACCUCAGUUUGAAGAAGGGACACAGCUAACCUCAGGGAGACCCCAUCCCCGCCCUACAGAGCCUCCAGAGUGAGUGGAGUGACAUGGUCCCUGCCUUAAGGCCACAGCCAGGGGCAAGGAAAAGUGCUUGGCCUCAGAAGACACCGGCAUGCUAAUGUCUCUAUAAAGUUUGAGAGUACCCAUCUCACACACCCUCAUCCUCGUCCUCACCCUGUCCAAACUUUGGUCUUUAUGAAGACAUGGUAUAAAAAACGAAAUUCGAGACAAAACAAAACAAAAACCCUGACUAACUUCUUAUUCAAGAGCCCUGUCCAAAAUACGGUAGGUGUUUUUCCACCCAUAUAUUAAAUAGUCAGCUGAGGUCUAACCCAGGCUGGGAUUGAAACACUGGUUCUGACACUCCCCGACCUUAUAUCGUUGCAGUGCAAUCUAACUACCACCAACACCAUCUCAUGUUUACUUUGACCCA
This 837-nucleotide long non-coding RNA is filed under the name Equus caballus (horse). RNAcentral's name for it is "lncRNA (ENSECAG00000057929.1)". The record is from RNAcentral. Lineage: Eukaryota; Metazoa; Chordata; Mammalia; Perissodactyla; Equidae.